RNAcentral lists this small RNA (549 nucleotides) under Arabidopsis thaliana (thale cress). RNAcentral describes it as "ATSL085050". Lineage: Eukaryota; Viridiplantae; Streptophyta; Magnoliopsida; Brassicales; Brassicaceae. The record is from RNAcentral.
AUUUUCUAAACUAAAGGUAUAUCUAUUGAUAUAACUCUAUUUUCACUGAAUUUAUCUAAGUUUUAGGUAUAGGAUUUUGAGUCUUUAUGUUGUUUCUCGAGUCUUUUUAGUGUCUUUUCAGGUAUUCUAUACAGUGGGACAAUAAUGGAGAUGAGGAGACAUUUUGGAGCAAAAGCUAAGGAAAAGAAAGCUAAGGACGAUUUUGGACUCAAGAAUCAAGAGGAGUGUCGAUCGACACACUCCUGGUGUCGAUCGACACCAGUUUCGGCCCAGCAAAGUCCAUGACGUUUUCAAGUUUACAGAAGAGGAAAUUUGCCCCAAAAGAAUUCCCUAUUUGCAUUAUUACUCCCUAGACGUUUUAUAGGGUUUAUAUACAUUGUUCUAGACCCUAGUUUUCUCUUAUCAAGCUUUUUGCAAAACCCUAUUGUGAGAGACAUAAGCUAUUCAUCCAUUGUUCUUGAGAGAUUCAUUCCAGUUCUUAAUACAGUGAAGAGAUCCCUUCUUUCUCUUUUUCUAUUUGCUGUGUUUAUGCUUUCAUACUCAAUUAUG